RNAcentral lists this long non-coding RNA (545 nucleotides) under Gossypium barbadense (sea-island cotton). RNAcentral's name for it is "long non-coding RNA (GBAR_LNC004893)". The record is from RNAcentral. Lineage: Eukaryota; Viridiplantae; Streptophyta; Magnoliopsida; Malvales; Malvaceae.
AAAAAUAGGCCUACAAGCCCAUGUGGCGUUGACAAUAUGCUUUUCAACUUCACGUCGUCCAUUGUUUUUAAGGACAGAAAAUACACAUCAGGUCAUUUUUUGAUAACACCACAACAACAAGUAUUCCAGAACCUAAAACGACAUUUAGAACGCGAGAAUUAUCAAUGAAAUGCUAAUUUCCAAAUCACUAAUUCGACCGUAAGCACUAACUAUUCAACCUUAACACCGAGAUUCGGCCUUAAAUAGGGCAUAGACCACUUACCCUUGAAAGAAACAGUAAUUUUGAACAGUAUCUAGAUCACCGAAGGAUUAGACGUCUCGCGAUCCUCACCUAGAAAAACCAAUGUGAUUAAAAAUGGGGAACAUAGCACAAAAAAAUUGUCAACUAUGCAAAAGGAAAAUUAAAAACCUUAUUACCGGAAGAAGGGGGUACAACAAUACUUACACCAAGAUUAAAUUACGAUCAACUCACUUGAAAACACCCCACAGACAAUAACACAAAAUUGACAGCACCACAAAUGCAAAAACAUGGAAGGAAAAGAAAG